UUGCGGCCACAUCACGUUGAAACACCGGUUCCCGUACGAUCACCGAAGUUAAGCAACGUCGAGCCUGAUCAGUAGCUAAAUGGGUGACCACUUGGAAAUACCAGGUGCUAUAA
Molecule: non-coding RNA, 113 nt
Organism: Acanthosepion pharaonis
Lineage: Eukaryota; Metazoa; Mollusca; Cephalopoda; Sepiida; Sepiidae
Source: the annotation of a GenBank genome assembly